Molecule: ribosomal RNA, 419 nt
Filed under: uncultured bacterium
Lineage: Bacteria
Description: bacterial SSU rRNA
Rfam family: Bacterial small subunit ribosomal RNA
Source: RNAcentral
AGCGAACGCUGGCGGCAGGCCUAACACAUGCAAGUCGAACGAACCCUUCGGGGUUAGUGGCGGACGGGUGAGUAACACGUGGGAACGUACCUUUAGGUUCGGAACAACACAGGGAAACUUGUGCUAAUGCCGAAUGUGCCCUUCGGGGAAAGGAUUUAUCGCCUUUAGAGCGGCCCGCGUCUGAUUAGCUUGUUGGUGAGGUAAAGGCUCACCAAGGCUACGAUCAGUAGCUGGUCUGAGAGGAUGAUCAGCCACACUGGGACUGAGACACGGCCCAGACUCCUACGGGAGGCAGCAGUGGGGAAUCUUGCGCAAUGGGCGAAAGCCUGACGCAGCCAUGCCGCGUGAAUGAUGAAGGUCUUAGGAUUGUAAAAUUCUUUCACCGGGGAAGAUAAUGACGGUACCCGGAGAAGAAGCCC